CAGCGCCACAAGUGGGGAUCAGCAUUAUUGGGCCUAAAGCGUCCGUAGCUUGUUUUGUAAAUCCUUUGUGAAAUUGUUGCGCUCAACGUAACACCACGCAUAGGAGACUGCUUAACUUGGAACCGGGAGGAGUAAGAAGUAUUCUUGGGGGAGCGGUAAAAUGUUAUAAUCCCAAGAGGACUACCUGUGGCGAAGGCGUCUUACUAGAACGGAUUCGACAGUGAGGGACGAAAGCUAGGGGAGCGAACCGGAUUAGAUACCCGAGUAGUCC
This 271-nucleotide ribosomal RNA is filed under the name uncultured archaeon. RNAcentral describes it as "partial 16S ribosomal RNA". It matches the Rfam family "Archaeal small subunit ribosomal RNA", at positions 477 to 747 of the family's 1478-position model. The record is from RNAcentral.